This 544-nucleotide ribosomal RNA is filed under the name uncultured archaeon. Its description in RNAcentral is "bacterial SSU rRNA". It matches the Rfam family "Archaeal small subunit ribosomal RNA", at positions 331 to 879 of the family's 1478-position model. The record is from RNAcentral.
UGCAGCAGGCGCGAAAACUUUGCAAUGCGGGAAACCGUGACAAGGGAACUCUGAGUGCCCGUUAAAUCGGGCUGUCCAUCGGUUUAAAUAACCGGUGAAGAAAGGGCCGGGCAAGACCGGUGCCAGCCGCCGCGGUAAUACCGGCGGCUCGAGUGGUGGCCACUAUUACUGGGCUUAAAGCGUUCGUAGCUGGUUUGUUAAGUCUCUGGGGAAAUCUUCCGGCUUAACCGGAAGGCGUCUCAGGGAUACUGGCAGACUAGGGACCGGGAGAGGUGAGAGGUACUCCAGGGGUAGGAGUGAAAUCCUGUAAUCCUUGGGGGACCACCUGUGGCGAAGGCGUCUCACCAGAACGGCUCCGACAGUGAGGGACGAAAGCUGGGGGAGCAAACCGGAUUAGAUACCCGGGUAGUCCCAGCUGUAAACGAUGCGCGUUAGGUGUAUCGGUGACCACGAGUCACCGAGGUGCCGAAGAGAAAUCGUGAAACGUGCCGCCUGGGAAGUACGGUCGCAAGGCUGAAACUUAAAGGAAUUGGCGGGGGAGCAC